GGGGCUGAUCGGGAUCGACGGAAGCCCUUUGCGUUUCCAUCAAGCCGAGGGUGCAUCAGACCUCGUAAAUCCUUGAUGCAUCAAAGACAACUGCCAAUCUUUAUACGCAAGCGAAGAAGGCUUUUGCCCUCCCAGCAUUUGCGCCCGUUGUCGCUUAAUUGCUACAACCAUCCGUCCUUAUAUGCUCACUUGUAGGGAGCCGGGUGUCAUAUUUGUGAGCUUCGAUCUUCACGCCACCUGUCAUGAAGAUUUAGAUGGCAAUCAGGUACCUCUUGUCGCGUAUGUGUUCCUGCUCUAAGCGCGACAGAGUACAAAAGCAGGAAUGAGCUUGGAACAAAUGAAAACGUGAAGUCUUACCAGACGGGGGUUCAAUUCCCCCCAGCUCCACCA
This 390-nucleotide transfer-messenger RNA is filed under the name Patescibacteria group. Its description in RNAcentral is "UBA12393 sp001002765 Standard tmRNA". It matches the Rfam family "transfer-messenger RNA". Rfam says of the family: Bacterial tmRNA, also known as 10Sa RNA or SsrA, is named for its dual tRNA and mRNA-like properties. Its role is to liberate the mRNA from a stalled ribosome. The record is from RNAcentral. RNAcentral also lists the same sequence under 1 other name.